Molecule: transfer RNA, 69 nt
Filed under: Theloderma baibungense (Baibung small treefrog)
Lineage: Eukaryota; Metazoa; Chordata; Amphibia; Anura; Rhacophoridae
Description: tRNA-Val
Source: RNAcentral
CAAAAUGUAGCUUAAUAAAAGCCUCUUGUUUACACCAAGAAAUUAUCUGUUGCAGUCGGAUCAUUUUGA